RNA transcript from Zea mays, 608 nucleotides. RefSeq lists it as uncharacterized. Lineage: Eukaryota; Viridiplantae; Streptophyta; Magnoliopsida; Poales; Poaceae. The record is from RefSeq and is marked validated. The transcript has a single exon.
AAACCCUAUCUCUCUCUCUCUCUCUCUCUCUCUCUCUCUCUAACAUAUGCAGUGAGCAUGUUCUUCCGGCGGCACUUGCUCUCUUGCUUCCUCCUGCUCCUGCUACUGUCACGCUUGCCAAGCUCGAUCGUCCUCGGCUUCAGAACAUCGAGAGGAGAGGAAGGCAAGAGCGAGUUGAUGAGGCGCCAUGAUGAGCAUGAGUUUCCGCCAGCCGUAUCUCCUUCAAAAGAGGUGGACGCCGCCAGUAAGUUCACGGUUUCAAGAAGAAUGGUUCCUCAAGGUCCGAACCCUCUCCACAACAGAUGAGAGGAUCGGAGCAGCACAUGCAUAUGCCACCUCUUCUCAAGUCUCAGCUACUACGGGUGUGCAGUGCACUCGACAAAGUACCCUUCUCCUCUUCCUUUUUUUUUUGUUUAGCCUAGACUGGACGAUACAGAUGGAUGCAUAUAUAAUUCCUAUGGAUGUAAUGUAGUGUGUGUGUGUGUGUGUUUUUGUUGCAUUGAUUUAAUUUGCAGGCGGCUCAGCUCUGUACAUACAUCUUUUUUAUCUUUAUGAUACUAUUAAGGUGUACCUGUAUGGAUCUGGAUUCUCUACGUCUAUUUAAUUUA